Mesocricetus auratus (golden hamster) is the source of this 641-nucleotide long non-coding RNA. RefSeq lists it as uncharacterized. Lineage: Eukaryota; Metazoa; Chordata; Mammalia; Rodentia; Cricetidae. The transcript has 2 exons. The record is from RefSeq and is a predicted model, not a curated record.
CUUCCCUGUAAGCUGCCUGCCUCUCUGGAGCCUGCCUUUGGCCCUGCCAAGCGGAGCCAACGGGAAGCAGCCAGGGUCUCACUGAACUGAGCAUCCACUGGGGAUCGGACAACAAAAAAGUCUUCAAGGAACAGGAUGGAACAGAAUGCAUCGUUGGAGGACCAGAAGCUGGGCACAGACAUCAGGAGGAAGAGGCCUGGAAUGGGGGAUGGACAAGUAGUCUGGAAUUUGUCUUAUUCCUGAUGAACCUUGGGAGUUGGCUUCCUAAGGUCUCCAUGCCCUUCACCUCUGCCUUAGGGGCUCCUCACUGUCCUCUGACUGGCUGGCUCAGUAGCUGAGGGCUGAGGAGGGACGGAGUACCCAGGAUCUGACAGCAGCCUACAGCUGACGGUGAGCACAGGCUUCUCCUGCAGAGCCAGGCAGGAUCAAGACAGCACCUGGGACAGCUCUCAGUGGCUCCUGGGACGCCCAAGGAAGCCAGAGAGACUUCGUCCAAAGCCACUCUCCAAAUACUUACUGAGUGCCUGCCAAGUUCCAGACACUGCCUUGGGCAUCAGAGAAAAGUGAACUGACAAAAUCCCCUGACCUUGUGGGCUUGCUUGCUAGCAGCAGACAGAAAAUAAACACUAUAAAUCAGCCAA